This 215-nucleotide ribosomal RNA is filed under the name Glomeromycotina sp. Its description in RNAcentral is "partial small subunit ribosomal RNA". Lineage: Eukaryota; Fungi; Glomeromycota. The record is from RNAcentral.
GGGUCAGUAGGUUGGUCGUGCCACCGGUACGUACUGGUCUCACUGAUUCCUCCUUCCUGAAGAACCGUAAUGCCAUUAAUUUGGUGUUGCGGGGAAACAGGACUGCUACUUUGAAAAAUUAGAGUGUUUAAGGCAAGCUAACGCUUGAAUACAUUAGCAUGGAAUAAUGAAAUAGGACGAUCGAUCCUAUUUUGUUGGUUUCUAGGAUUGACGUA